UAACUUGAAGGUUGUGCCAUUCAUUGCCGUGUUACGUUGCUGUCAUGUCACCACUAGGUGACACAAGUGUGCGUUAUGUUGUCAAAAGCCCCAACUAGUCGACUUGAGUCUUCAUGCAAAACCCCGGAAGCCAGGAGUGGAUGAAGUACCUGAAAGCCGCGAUGCAAGAGGGCGGCGACGAGGGUUACGUGUUGGACCUCAGCGAUGAGCGGGGUCCUGGGAAACAGCAGCCCUGUCUUCGGCAGGCUGUGGCAGCCCCCCGUCACUCAGCUGGACCCAAGGUCAGGCCCCAGGAGGACGCGAGGGGAUCAGGAUUUAGCAGAGGGGGAAGAGAUUAGGCCCACAUCCGCUCGCCCCUGAUCCAUCCAUGGUCUGGGAAGGGGCAUACGGAAGACCACUAAGAUGCAAUGUUACAGCUGUAAUGAAAAAGACUUGCAAGAGAACAUACAGUUGGUAAAUUGCUUUAACCAAGGAAAUUGAAACUGAACAAAAAAUUGUUUUUUUCUUACAGUAUUCAGUACAUUUGGACAAAUUCGGUUUAUAAGGGUUGGGAAACUCUUUUUUUUUGUAAAAUGUCCCCAUCUCUCCUAUACUUACCCUUACACACACAUACACACAGACAAACACACAGACACACACACACAAACAUACACCACUAUAUUUUCUGGCAAAUCAAGUGUGCUUGUGCCGACAGGUCUAAAAGUUGAUUCAAAUGAGGACGUCCAAACAAUUAAGCUGUCCAUGCCAAAAUAAAUCCAUCAACCCACAGUUAACAGUCAAUUCAUUACUGUCAAAACAUUCCUCACUUGCUUGUUGGUUGUGCAGAAUAAAUCUUUAGCACUCCAGGAUUUAUUGGUGCAAUCUGU
Long non-coding RNA from Clupea harengus (Atlantic herring), 866 nucleotides. RefSeq lists it as uncharacterized. Lineage: Eukaryota; Metazoa; Chordata; Actinopteri; Clupeiformes; Clupeidae. The record is from RefSeq and is a predicted model, not a curated record. The transcript has 2 exons.